GAAACCUUCCUGACUUAUUUAUUUUUUUUGGAAUGUUUGCUACAGGCUAUUCUGUGGAAGGAGUUUGGGAGCCCAGAAACUUUACUUUUAUUAUUAUUUUAUUUUAUUAUUAUUUUAUUUAAUCAGAUUACAAUACCGGGAGACCAGGGAGCCCACACAGGCCCUCCCGGCUGGAGCUCGGCGGGGCAGAGGCUCGCUGCUCCCCCUGCCCGGCGCCGCCGCCAUCUUGUGCCAGCCGCGCUCUGUGGGUGCGGGCAGGGCCAGCCGACGAGGGGCGGCGGCUUUGGCACGCCCGUGGGAGGAGCGGGACGACGACGGGCCCUCCAGAUCCCCCCUCAGGGCUGCACUGCCAGCUGCCGUCACGACAUAAGUCGCGAUAGCGAGCCGCCGCCCCGUUGGGCCUGCCUGGAAGCCCCGGGAGCUGCGCUCCGGCGACGCCACGGCGCGUUGCCUGGCAACCGCCCCGGCUUGCUGCGAGAUGGCGCCCGGCCCCCUCCCGCCAAGCUCCGCACCGCGCGCGUGCGCACUGCAGAAUCCCCGCCCCCUCCGCAAACCGCGCACGAGCCAUUGGCCGCCUGCUCAGCCAAUCGGCGCGCCGUCCUCCUUCCCGCCUCCUUCCGCGCCCGCUUUCGAACGGGCGGGACGGGAGCUCUGCGGCGCAGCCCAACUCUACUGGGGGCGGGAGCGCGUGCCCGUCGUCCCGCCUCCUUCCUGCGCAGCGCGGCGGUGAUUGGCCCUCUCGUCUGUCAGUCGAGGCGGCGGGCGCAGGGUCGGUUGUCACGCGGAAAAGCGGCGGUGCCGGCGGAGGCUGCGGCUGCGGGGCCCGGCGGGUGUCGGCGGCGGGGCCGCGCUGAGGGCACGGGCUCGAGGCUGCCGCCGCCGCCCCGCGCUGCUCCCGGUGCCGUGAGGAGGGCGCUGCCGGCGAGUCCCCGGGCGGUCGAGGCUCGUCGUCACGCAGCUCGGUGGGGAGCCGGCCCGGCGGCUGUGUGCUCGCAGCUCCGGGCGGGAAGGGGCCGUGGUCGGCACCGCAGGGCUUCUGGAACGUAG
RNAcentral lists this long non-coding RNA (1047 nucleotides) under Anas platyrhynchos platyrhynchos (common mallard). RNAcentral describes it as "lncRNA (ENSAPLG00000023324.1)". Lineage: Eukaryota; Metazoa; Chordata; Aves; Anseriformes; Anatidae. The record is from RNAcentral.